AACGAACGCUGGCGGCAUGCCUAACACAUGCAAGUCGAACGAGACCUUCGGGUCUAGUGGCGCACGGGUGCGUAACGCGUGGGAACCUGCCCUUAGGUUCGGAAUAACUCCCCGAAAGGGGUGCUAAUACCGGAUAAUGUCUUCGGACCAAAGAUUUAUCGCCUUUGGAUGGGCCCGCGUUGGAUUAGCUAGUUGGUAGGGUAAAAGCCUACCAAGGCGACGAUCCAUAGCUGGUCUGAGAGGAUGAUCAGCCACACUGGGACUGAGACACGGCCCAGACUCCUACGGGAGGCAGCAGUGGGGAAUAUUGGACAAUGGGCGAAAGCCUGAUCCAGCAAUGCCGCGUGAGUGAUGAAGGCCUUAGGGUUGUAAAGCUCUUUUACCCGGGAGGAUAAUGACAGUACCGGGAGAAUAAGCUCCGGCUAACUCCGU
Molecule: ribosomal RNA, 432 nt
Filed under: uncultured bacterium
Lineage: Bacteria
Description: partial 16S ribosomal RNA
Rfam family: Bacterial small subunit ribosomal RNA
Source: RNAcentral